RNAcentral lists this ribosomal RNA (497 nucleotides) under uncultured bacterium. Its description in RNAcentral is "partial 16S ribosomal RNA". It matches the Rfam family "Bacterial small subunit ribosomal RNA", at positions 28 to 507 of the family's 1533-position model. The record is from RNAcentral.
GACGAACGCUGGCGGCGUGCCUAAUACAUGCAAGUUGAGCGAUGAAGAUUGGUGCUUGCACCAAUUUGAAGAGCAGCGAACGGGUGAGUAACGCGUGGGGAAUCUGCCUUUGAGCGGGGGACAACAUUUGGAAACGAAUGCUAAUACCGCAUAACAACUUUAAACAUAAGUUUUAAGUUUGAAAGAUGCAAUUGCAUCACUCAAAGAUGAUCCCGCGUUGUAUUAGCUAGUUGGUGAGGUAAAGGCUCACCAAGGCGAUGAUACAUAGCCGACCUGAGAGGGUGAUCGGCCACAUUGGGACGGAGACACGGCCCAAACGCCUACGGGAGGCAGCAGUAGGGAAUCUUGGGCAAUGGACGAAAGUCUGACCGAGAAACGCCGCGUGAGGGAAGAAGGUUGUCGGAUCGUAAAACUCGGUUGGUAGAGAAGAACGUUGGUGAGAGUGGAAAGCUCAUCAAGUGACGGUAACUACCCAGAAAGGGACGGCUAACUACGUG